This is a long non-coding RNA of Ictalurus punctatus (channel catfish), 1296 nucleotides long. The record is from Ensembl. Lineage: Eukaryota; Metazoa; Chordata; Actinopteri; Siluriformes; Ictaluridae.
GAAAAAAGUGACAUUUUAUGUCUAGAAAGUCAGUUUUCAUCAAAAGUACAAUAACAAAUCGAGUUCCAUUCAUCCUGUGUCUGCAUGCACACUUGUGCUCUUUAUCCGCUCAAAACGCUAUAGAGCGAACGAGAAGGCGCUAGGAGCAAAGGAAAGUGGUUUUUCGAACAAACUCAUAUAAUCAGUGGCCCGACCUACUCCAAUUUGAUUUUUUUCACAUAGUUAGACAUAAUAUAGUACUAUGAAAUGUUUCUGACCCAAAAUAUUACGAAAUAUGAUUGUUUACAUUAAAAUGCAAAAGUUGAUGAAAAAGUAUGAUAAGGUGAAAAAAGUGACAUUUUAUGUCUAGAAAGUCAGUUUUCAUCAAAAGUACAAUAACAAAAGUAGUUCGCUUUCAUCCUGUGUCUCCUUACACACUUGUGCUCUUUAUCCGCUCUAAACGCUAUAGAGCCAACGAGAAGGCGCUAGGAGCAAAGGAAAGUGGUUUUUCGAACAAACUCAUAUAAUCAGUUGCCCGACCUACUCCAAUUUGAUUUUUUUCACAUAGUUAGACAUAAUAUAGUACUAUGAAAUGUUUCUGACCCAAAAUAUUACGAAAUAUGAUUGUUUACAUUAAAAUGCAAAAGUUGAUGAAAAAGUAUGAUAAGGUGAAAAAAUGACAUUUUAUGUCUAGAAAGUCAGUUUUCAUCAAAAGUACAAUAACAAAUCGAGUUCCCAUUCAUCCUGUGUCUCCUUACACACUUAUGCUCUUUAUCCGCUCAAAACGCUAUAGAGCGAACGAGAAGGCGCUAGGAGCAAAGGAAAGUGGUUUUUCGAACAAACUCAUAUAAUCAGUGGCCCGACCUACUCCAAUUUGAUUUUUUUUCACAUAGUUAGACAUAAUAUAGUACUAUGAAAUGUUUCUGACCCAAAAUAUUACGAAAUAUGAUUGUUUACAUUAAAAUGCAAAAGUUGAUGAAAAAUAUGAUAAGGUGAAAAAAGUGACAUUUUAUGUCUAGAAAGUCAGUUUUCAUCAAAAGUACAAUAACAAAAGUAGUUCGCAUUCAGCCUGUGUCUCCUUACACACUUGUGCUCUUUAUCCGCUCUAAACGCUAUACAGCCAACGAGAAGGCGCUAGGAGCAAAGGAAAGUGGUUUUUCGAACAAACUCAUAUAAUUAGUUGCCCGACCUACUCCAAUUUGAUUCUUUUCACAUAAUUAGACAUAAUAUAGUACUAUGAAAUGUUUCUGACCCAAAAUAUUACGAAAUAUGAUUGUUUACAUUAAAAUGCAAAAGUUGAUGAAAAAGUAUGAUAAG